UACGUAGGAUGCAAGCGUUGUCCGGAAUUAUUGGGCGUAAAGAGCGAGCAGGCGGUUUGGAAGUUGGACGUGAAAUUUUAGGGCUUAACCCUAAAGGUCGUCCAAAACUCCCAGACUAGAGUGCAGGAGGAGGAAAGCGGAAUUCCCGGUGUAGUGGUGAAAUGCGUAGAUAUCGGGAAGGAACACCAGAGGCGAAGGCGGCUUUCUGGCCUGUAACUGACGCUGAGGAGCGAAAGCGUGG
RNAcentral lists this ribosomal RNA (241 nucleotides) under uncultured bacterium. RNAcentral describes it as "partial 16S ribosomal RNA". It matches the Rfam family "Bacterial small subunit ribosomal RNA", at positions 524 to 764 of the family's 1533-position model. The record is from RNAcentral.